CAGGAGUCACCUGAGUCCAUGGAAAAAUACAGAUACUUACGUUACAGUUCAUCCAUAACAGUAGCAAAAUUACAAUUAAGAAGUAGCAAUGAAAAUAAUUUUGUGGUUGGGGGUCACCACAACCUGAGGAACUGGAUUAAAGGGUCUCAGCAUUAGGAAGGAUGAGAACCGCUGCUCUAGAGGGUAGCGAAUGGGCUAGAAGCUGUGGUGCCACCACCCAUGGCCAUUGCUUUGUGCAGUUGUUGUUGAAUGUAAGACUUCCACAUUAGCUGUACUGACGCUCCCUUGUCUUUGGUUCCUCCAGAAUGAGGAGCGCCUCCGACAGGCAGUUGAACUCCUAGGAAAGGCCUCCAGACUGCUGGUACGAGGGCGGAGGUAUGGCUUGGGAGCUGUAUGUCUAUGGAUCCAUGGGUGUUUUGAGUCUACAUUUGGAACUUGUAAAUAACCUUGGAUAUAGCUAUUUGUCUACACUUGGACAACCAGUGGGAAAAAUGAUUUUCUAAGGAGUAGGCCAUGAAAUUCAAACCUGCUUUUCUACUCAUGAAACUCAUGAAAGAACAGUGAGUUAUCUUGACCUGUCAUUGCAUAGUGUUGUGGUGUUCUCUUAGAGUAAGUGACAAAAGCGCCCUACAUACCCACAAACAACAGCUUGUGAUGCUUGAGUUAUAGCAUUAAAUGGGAUUUUUACUCUCUAUAUAAUACAUAUAUAGACUAAAAAUAUACAUACACAUACAUAUAUACAUAUGUAUGUGUAUGUAUAUAAAUUUAUAUAUUUGUAUUUUAAGUGAUUAUUCAAUAUAUCUUGAUCAUUUUCCUCUCUUAUAGCUGCUCCCAGAACCACUCUACCUCUUUAACUACCUGUCUUUAUUUUUCUCUUAUUCUUCCUUUCAUUAAGAAAAAAAAAACUGAUAUAAAAACAAAAAAGUCAAAAUGAAACAAAACUAAUUCUGAGCCCGGGGCCUGCCUGGAGUAUAGUUGAUAGACAUUGUGACAUGCCGGGGAGAAAACUGAUUUUCCCUUUGCCAGUGGGUGUCUAUUGUAGAUAGCUUCUUGGUUAGGGGUAGGAACCCUUAUCCGCUGACCCCUCUGAGUGCUGGGACCCUGUUGC
RNAcentral lists this long non-coding RNA (1108 nucleotides) under Mus musculus (house mouse). RNAcentral's name for it is "long non-coding RNA chr18:62986649-62987757". Lineage: Eukaryota; Metazoa; Chordata; Mammalia; Rodentia; Muridae. The record is from RNAcentral.